Astatotilapia calliptera (eastern happy) is the source of this 1487-nucleotide long non-coding RNA. The record is from Ensembl. Lineage: Eukaryota; Metazoa; Chordata; Actinopteri; Cichliformes; Cichlidae.
CAAACAGUAGACACAAUACACACAUUCAAGUACUGUACUUUAGUUUUAAAUUUUAAUAAAGCAUUACUAUUUUCUACUCCAAGGCAUUACUUUUGAGAUUAUUAUAUAUUUUUGAAAAUACAGCAUAAUGAUAAUACUAGUUAUUGUAAACUUUACAAACCACCCAGCAGUAUGUAAAGUCAAAUUAUAAGAUACAAGUAAAUAACAAUUGCAGAACAGAAUGUCAGUGUAAUGAACACACACUUCGUUUUGACAAAGCACAGCUUAGGUAAAUGAUCUGAGUAGUUGUUCAUCACUGAGCAAUUUGUUAAUAUGUGUUUCGAGCCAAAUAAAUGACAGAGAGAGAGAGUGACGUCAGAACACGUCAUGCUAUAACCUCCCGGGAGCGAACGGAGGGGGUCAGUCGUUGGGAUGCGCAUGCGCAGACAGAGUGUGCGAGCGGCGGGCCUUGACCUUUCGGGGGAAAAAACUCACGGACGGUGACAGCGAAACGGAUAACAGUCUUCAGUACCUGCUGGACUUUGAAGCUGUGGAUUCUGGGACUGUUAGAAAAGCUCCAACAAAAUGAGGAAGAGGAGGGGCAGAAACACAAUUAGAUUGAAUUACAAUUGGAUGGAAGUUGAGGACAAGGAGAAGGAAGCUUUGGAUGAGGAGGAAGAGAAGCAGCAGGAGCAUCUUUAGGGAUCCCUAUGAUGUCAUUGAGAGGCAGCGGCGAGAGGGGAGACCUCGGGUCAUCCAGCUGGAGAGCCUGACCAGGAGGAGUCGAACAUUAACUCAGCUCUUCCAGGGCACCCUGCAGACUCGGCUGUUGGCAUCGACGAGGGAUGACGUGAACGCCAAACUGGAGUCCAUCACAGGUCAACUGCAGCUCCUUGUCUCAGAGUGGGAGGGAUUUGAAGCACAAAGGGAGGAACUUGUCAUUUGGUUGGCUGAUAUGGAUGUCCGCCUGAGUGAGGUUGACCAGCUGACAGGAAACACCAGUGAAAAACUGAAACAACUGCAGGUGUGGGCUUGUUUUGAUAUGACAUAUAUUUGAUAUGAAACAUACGUCAGAGACAUUGUCCUAAACUGGACUAACAAAGGACCAUGAGUACAACAUGAAAAGUACAUUACAUAGCGUAAGGCUGAAGUUCAUUGAUCAUUUUAAUCAUAAACUUGUUGUUGAAAUGUUUUUACUGAACAUGCAAAUAUCUGCUGAUGAAAAUGUGUUGAUUUAUUGGUCUGUUAUGAAGCUAUUGCUAUUUCUAAUGUGUUUUAUCACUUUCUGAUGUUUUAUUAAUUAAACAAUACAUGUAUUAUUUGUUGUGUUAUCUGUAGAUAUAGUAUUUAUAUAUAUAUUUAUUUAUAGUAUAGCCAAUAUAUUUAAUUAUUACUUUUUAAAACACUAAUAUGUGACAUGUAUUAGUAGUGAUGUUGUGCUGAGGGUUAAAAUGCCUUUUUGUCUUUUGGUAACUACAAAAUGACAAUAAACCAUUAAUAUAUGUCUA